AGCUGGUUCUCUCCGAAAUAGCUUUAGGGCUAGCCUCAAGUGAUGAUUAUUGGAGGUAGAGCACUGUUUGGACGAGGGGCCCCUCUCGGGUUACCGAAUUCAGACAAACUCCGAAUGCCAAUUAAUUUAACUUGGGAGUCAGAACAUGGGUGAUAAGGUCCGUGUUCGAAAGGGAAACAGCCCAGACCACCAGCUAAGGUCCCAAAAUAUAUGUUAAGUGGAAAAGGAUGUGGCGUUGCCCAGACAACUAGGAUGUUGGCUUAGAAGCAGCCAUCAUUUAAAGAGUGCGUAAUAGCUCACUAGUCGAGUGACACUGCGCCGAAAAUGUACCGGGGCUAAACAUAUUACCGAAGCUGUGGAUUGUCCUUUGGACAAUGGUAGGAGAGCGUUCUAAGGGCGUUGAAGCAUGAUCGUAAGGACAUGUGGAGCGCUUAGAAGUGAGAAUGCCGGUGUGAGUAGCGAAAGACGGGUGAGAAUCCCGUCCACCGAUUGACUAAGGUUUCCAGAGGAAGGCUCGUCCGCUCUGGGUUAGUCGGGUCCUAAGCUGAGGCCGACAGGCGUAGGCGAUGGAUAACAGGUUGAUAUUCCUGUACCACCUAUAAUCGUUUUAAUCGAUGGGGGGACGCAGUAGGAUAGGCGAAGCGUGCGAUUGGAUUGCACGUCUAAGCAGUAAGGCUGAGUAUUAGGCAAAUCCGGUACUCAUUAAGGCUGAGCUGUGAUGGGGAGAAGACAUUGUGUCUUCGAGUCGUUGAUUUCACACUGCCGAGAAAAGCCUCUAGAUAGAAAAUAGGUGCCCGUACCGCAAACCGACACAGGUAGUCAAGAUGAGAAUUCUAAGGUGAGCGAGCGAACUCUCGUUAAGGAACUCGGCAAAAUGACCCCGUAACUCGGGAGAAGGGGUGCUCUUUAGGGUUAACGCCCAGAAGAGCCGCAGUGAAUAGGCCCAAGCGACUGUUUAUCAAAAACACAGGUCUCUGCUAAACCGUAAGGUGAUGUAUAGGGGCUGACGCCUGCCCGGUGCUGGAAGGUUAAGAGGAGUGGUUAGCUUCUGCGAAGCUACGAAUCGAAGCCCCAGUAAACGGCGGCCGUAACUAUAACGGUCCUAAGGUAGCGAAAUUCCUUGUCGGGUAAGUUCCGACCCGCACGAAAGGCGUAACGAUUUGGGCACUGUCUCAACGAGAGACUCGGUGAAAUCAUAGUACCUGUGAAGAUGCAGGUUACCCGCGACAGGACGGAAAGACCCCGUGGAGCUUUACUGUAGCCUGAUAUUGAAAUUCGGCACAGCUUGUACAGGAUAGGUAGGAGCCUUUGAAACGUGAGCGCUAGCUUACGUGGAGGCGCUGGUGGGAUACUACCCUAGCUGUGUUGGCUUUCUAACCCGCACCACUUAUCGUGGUGGGAGACAGUGUCAGGCGGGCAGUUUGACUGGGGCGGUCGCCUCCUAAAAGGUAACGGAGGCGCUCAAAGGUUCCCUCAGAAUGGUUGGAAAUCAUUCAUAGAGUGUAAAGGCAUAAGGGAGCUUGACUGCGAGACCUACAAGUCGAGCAGGGUCGAAAGACGGACUUAGUGAUCCGGUGGUUCCGCAUGGAAGGGCCAUCGCUCAACGGAUAAAAGCUACCCCGGGGAUAACAGGCUUAUCUCCCCCAAGAGUUCACAUCGACGGGGAGGUUUGGCACCUCGAUGUCGGCUCAUCGCAUCCUGGGGCUGUAGUCGGUCCCAAGGGUUGGGCUGUUCGCCCAUUAAAGCGGUACGCGAGCUGGGUUCAGAACGUCGUGAGACAGUUCGGUCCCUAUCCGUCGUGGGCGUAGGAAAUUUGAGAGGAGCUGUCCUUAGUACGAGAGGACCGGGAUGGACAUACCUCUGGUGUACCAGUUGUCGUGCCAACGGCAUAGCUGGGUAGCUAUGUGUGGACGGGAUAAGUGCUGAAAGCAUCUAAGCAUGAAGCCCCCCUCAAGAUGAGAUUUCCCAACUUCGGUUAUAAGAUCCCUCAAAGAUGAUGAGGUUAAUAGGUUCGAGGUGGAAGCAUGGUGACAUGUGGAGCUGACGAAUACUAAUCGAUCGAAGACUUAAUCAAAA
RNAcentral lists this ribosomal RNA (2076 nucleotides) under Staphylococcus aureus. Its description in RNAcentral is "partial 23S ribosomal RNA". It matches the Rfam family "Bacterial large subunit ribosomal RNA", at positions 847 to 2925 of the family's 2925-position model. Lineage: Bacteria; Bacillati; Bacillota; Bacilli; Caryophanales; Staphylococcaceae. The record is from RNAcentral.